CUAACCUACGACAUAACAAAAUUGUGUUGCUUAGUAUAUACAUUUUAGAGUUUAAAUUAAAAUUGAAUUUUAAUCACGAAAAAAAAAAAUUCAACCUUUUUAAAAAUGAAAAAUCUAAAAAAGCUACGUACAGUCGUAUAGCCCUCGAAAAUAUAUUUUCUUUACAUUUCGUUAUUUAUGGUUAAACUCCGGUUUCAACCUAAACGCCAAAAUUUACGUCGUAUCACAUAAUUAAUAAUGGACAAUAAUUUAGAGCUAAUUUGUUAAUAGAAAGUCUACGUUUUAUUUUUCUUUCUUACUUCUAAUGUAUGCAUUAUCUAAAUGUAAAAAAUUAAGUAAUGAUGGUGUAUAAAAACUGUAAGCGUUUUUCUAUGUAUUUUACAGAUAACGAAAAAAAAUCAUAAAACAAUCUAACAUGAAUAAUGUUAGGUAUAUUCUAUAUAACUUUUAUUUCUUUAAUCAAAUCGAAUUGACGAUGAGAACAAAUAGUGGGAAUCAUUACAUUAUAUUUCGAACAGGACCGGUCGGUGAGCAGUACACGAAUUUUUAAGCGAAAGGAUUGGUAUGUCUUAAGUCGUAUCAACGACGUCUAAUAAAACCUAAAUUACCUUGAAGAUUUAUUGUUUUAACGUAAGUAGCCACAUUUUAUUUUUAGACUAAGUGUACAGUAUCAUAUUAUUAUUUAUUUUAAUUAUAUUUUACAUUUGUUUAACUGCAUUUUUUACUAUAAUAUUAUCAUAAUUUUGUAUAAGUAACAUUUUUUUUUUCUGUUAUGUGUUUUACAUAGUCAUUUGAGUGUGGGAAAUGCUAAUAAACAAAAUAUUGUGUACACGGCGACCCGGAACCCUUGCCCGUCCGAGCGUUUCUGGAUUCGCGUCGGUACGUCUGUAGCGUAUAUUAUGUACCCACGACUGCGGAAAAUCGUCUCGGGGUCAGGAGGGGCGGUCGGAUUUGACGUUUUGCAGGGAAGGACGUUUCACCAUCGGGUAUACAGGGUGAUUUUUUUUUUGUCAUGAUUCGACUUUAUUAUGUCUACCAAAAACCAAAAUUGAUUUUGAUUUUUUUCUGUAUAGUUAUAUUCUUAUAUGUUAUACAGAAUUGUAAAUCGUUUAAUGAUAAUAUUUACUAUUGGUUUCAAAAUUGUACCUUUAUUCCGAACAUCGUAUAAACCCGUAGGUGUCGACUUUUGAUUCUAAAAUAGCGACCUUCUUUUCAAACCACAUUUAAAAAGAGAAUAUUUUUCCAUAGAAAUAUUAAUAUGCAUAACACUAUAAUAUUAGAUAUACCGUUUGAACAUUUAAAAAUAUAGUGUUAAAACAAAAUUUAAUAAUUUUGUUAGCAAUGAUUUAUCAUUGCAAACAAAAAACGAUUCUGACCGGAGUUCAGUUGAUAGUGAUGCUUUGUCAUCAAUAUAUAUAUGUCAUAUUAUGGUAAAAUAAUUAAAUAGGCAUUACAUAUUUUCUUUAAUAAUAUUUGUUUAAUAUUAAUCAGAUUUUCCCGUUUUUCUUAUGAUUUUCUAGGUUUUCACGUGUUUUUUCCCGGUUUUUCACAACUACUAGGAUAAUUAUUGAAAAAAUUCAAAAAAUGACCUCCUUAAAAAACCUUCCCAGUCAGAUUCCUUUUCAGAAAAAGCACUAUCCAUUGUAAGCUGGAACAAAAUUUCUGAUAGAAAAGUUGUUCAUAGAAAAAAAGAAGUCCGUAAUAUUUUUUUAACUUAGUAAUAAUGGGUACCUAUGUACAUUAUUUAUUACAUUUUCCCGUUUUUCCUCAGUUUUUUUUUUCGGUUUUUCACAUUUGAUGAGACUCCUGAGGAAAUCAAAAAAUGACCUUCUUAAAGUACCACCCUAAGAAAAUUUCCUUUCAGAAAAUAUGCUACAUUUAAAAAUUAGAGCAAGAUCUCUAGUAGAAAAAGUGUCCACAGAGAGAAAAAAAAACAUUUUUGUAAAACCAUAAGCUUCUUUGCUCCAUUCAGAAUCUAAAACAGAAACAAAUGUACGUAAAAUCGCCCAGAAAAUCACCGAAUCGUUGGAAAAAAAAAAUCACCCCGUAUAUAUUAUACAGUUGCCGGUGUUGGCGGACCGCAAAUGUCGGUCGCUGGUUGAAUGGGUCACGCGGGGCCAGUGUCGGGAACCGUAAUAUCGAAUACACCUAUAUAUUAUAUGGGUGUCCGGAUGUCCGGUUUUGCAGGAUUUCAUUUGAUAAUCAGGAUUUUCGUAUGCGUUUAUAUUGUAUUUUUCAAACUAUUGUACCCUACAUACCCGAUUCUGUUUCGUAUCGUUGCGUUUUAAUUAACCAUUUUAUUUCAUUUUAUGCGUGUGCGUGUGUGUAAUUAUCGACCUGCAUUGUUUUUACAAUAUCAAUUUAAAUAAAAAAAUAUAGGUAAUAAAUAAUUACAAAGUUUAUCGUGAAAACGAUCUACCGCAGUGGGACAAUGGCCGAUUGCCAAAACUGAGCAGUAUAAUGUACAGAGUUACUUAAUACAUGAUACUUUUGUUUUUUUAGUUAUCAAGUUAAGUUAGUAGUUAUAACUCUAUAGAGGCACAAUUAUUAUACUUAUUAUAGUUGGAAAAUAUAUUUAUUUUUCUUUUAUAAUAUCAUUAUAAACUCACUAUAUUUAUAUGUCUGUAUUAUAGUAUACAUUUUCAAGUUAAAUACUUGAAACUAAGUAUAUUAUUUCUUAUCUGCAUUAUGAAUUAUUAUGACUAAUUAUGAGCACGCUGUAAUAAAUACACGCGUUCUCGUCGAAAAAAAAAAAUUACUAUUCAAAUAAAAUUAUAAAUGCGGUCUUUAAUUAUUAUUUAAAAUACGAUCAAAAAAUGUAUAUCAGAGCUCUAUCAUUAGUACAAAGAAUUUCCUCCCAGCUAAAUUAUUGUCGUUAAUUUCAUGUUUUUUUUUUUUUAUUAUUCAUAUGUAUAAUGAUAAGGAAUUGAACAAAAAAAGUUUUACUAAAAUAGGUGAAGUUGUUCUCGAGAUUUUUGCUACACGCAUAAAUGGUGGGCUCGGGGUUUGUAAGUUCAAACCUUCUAAAGGCACAUCAGUGAUAAUAAUUCUAUUUAUAUAUACUUAUUUCAACCAAGUUAUGCUUACUUGCAUUAGUCUGUAAGAGUACCUACUUAGAACCUGCUGUUUUCUGUAAAACGUAAAAUCUAAGCAUAACAAUGGUUGGAGAGGGGGUUGAAAGUUGAAACCACCAAAGUCACCAAGCGUAUAUGAUAUACAAAAUAUUAUGUACUUGCACAGUGGGCCAUAUAUUAAUAAAAAUAGACGAAACCGAAAACAAAAAAUUAUAUCGUCGGUUUUAUAGCAGAUUAUAUUUGUUUACGUUGUAUAGAUAAUGUUUGUUGCAAUAUUUGACGAUUUCUCCGUCAUUUAAAACUUACCUUAGCUUAGUAGUUAGCUUAGUAAGCUAACUAAUAAAUUAUGACGAUCGUGCCAAAGUUAUUUUCUCAUACAUUAAAUUAAAGUUAAAUCUAUUUUUAGGAAUUAAAAAAAAAAUAAAUAUAUUUUUUUUCUUAAUAAGCGAUGGAAAGUAUGCUGUAGAAUACGCGAUCGUUUUGAACAAAUAAACGAUAAUUUGAUUAAAAAAAAUUGACAAUUUCUUAAUAUUCCUCCACUAAAUACUUCUUCUGGUAGACCUCAAGUGUCAUUUUCAGUUCAUUUUUCAUUGUGUCUCAUGAUAUGUAUGUUAUAAUUUAAAUUGGUGAUAAAAAUAAAUAAAUUACAAUUUUUAAUUUGCUAAUUUUACUUUAUACUUUAUACUAGCGCUACUAUAGCCUGCAGUUAAAAACAUUUAAGAUAAUAGGUCACACAAAUUGUUCUGAUUAAAAAAUAUCACACUCAUAACCCUUCAAAAAAGGGUUAAGAUAUUAAAAUUAAUAUCAAAUUUGGAUUUUGUGAUCUCAAAAACGUAUAUUUUGAUGUAUGUAACAAUGGUUUUAUGUACAUUUUUGGGAAAUAUUAAUUUUUAUCUGUUUUUUUGGGAUUAUGGCCUACUGUGCUACAAUAAUUAUGUAUUACUGAACUGCGCUCAGAAUCGUCUUUCGUCAAGUAAUGGUUCUCAAUAAUGGUCAAGUAAUCUUAUAUAUCCUACCUUCCCAACUUCUCACCUACAACAGUGGCCAUUCCCAUCUCCAGUAUCAGCUCCUUUUUUUAAAUUAAUAAGUAUAUUUUACUAUAAAAUAAAUUAUUAAAGAUAAUUUUUGUUUUAGGUUUUAUUUUAUGUGGCAAUGUCAUGUGGUUCAGUGUGCUUUAUAAUUUGUGUUAAUUAUAAUAGUUCAUUAGAUUAAUUCUCGUGUUCCUAAAAAUUGGGAGAAAUUUUGAAGGUUAAUGUACAAUAUAAAAUAUAUUGUCGCCUUUACUUGAAUUGCAUUACAAAUUUUGAUGAAUGCGAAUCGUUCAUUACAAAAAUAAAGAAUGAUGAACGGCAAUGUAUUCCUUUUCAAAAAGAAUUGUCUAUAAACACUGCAUACAUUUUACUGUCCGGCUUCCACGACUGCGUGACGAACAAUUUACCAGAGGAGGAUCCAAAAACAUAUACACGUAUACCCUACGUAUAUCCUCCCCUAUACCCGGCAGGACUUUUCCCUUCGGGUUUUUCUAUAAUACCUAUACUCCGCUGCAGUUUAAAAGAGGUGUGGUGCACGGGUCAAGGACGAAGAUUUAUCAACGACGACAGUCGUCAACAAAAUUAAUCGAAUUAAGCUCGCCGAUCGCUACGCGGUGUAAAAACCAUUCGUAUGCUUUAUUGGAUUUUAUAUACCUACAUACACACACAUACAUAUAAAUUAAAAUCUAUGUAGUGGAAAACAUAUUAUAGGUAUUUUAUUUAUUAUUUUUAUUUUUUUCGACGCAGAAGCAAUAUAAUACGCGUUUCAGACUACCGUUUAAGUGCGCGUCGCUUUUUAUAUAAUUAUAUUGUGUUCAAAUUAAAAAUACCUAUAAUACCGAGUACCGGUGUAUAACGAACACCGAAACGCGUAUCAACGCACAUUAUUGUAACUAAAUCAUAAAAAACAAAACGAACAAAUUCAAAAAUAAUAUACAAAAUGCAGAACAAACACCAUAAAGAAAUCCAAACGACAAUGCGAAAUUUUAAAAACGUUUUUAUAACCGCUGACGGACAAUAGUGUUAUACAUGCAACAUAAUAUUAUGUAUAUACAUAUGUACCUACUUACAAAGGAAUUAUUACCACUGGUUCACUGCAUUCUACCUCACCGUAUACACAUUACACGGUCAUUAUAAUAUUCAUCAUAAUUACAAUAUUAUUUUAUGAUGCGAUGUAUAGGUAUCUAAUUUUCUAUUAUCUCUAAUCUACACCAUUAAUUAAAAAUGUCAAUGAUAUUGAUGUCAAAACCCAACCUUUUCUUGACAUUCACCUGUUGUAUGCGUAGCGCGGUUAUCACGGUGAUAAACUUACGUGCGUGGGUUGCGUUUGAUUAGCAGUUUCGACUCAAUAUUAUGAUAUGAGUCACUGUUCGUGUUUUAACUCGAGUUGGUAACGUUUUUGUGUAGAUGUUCAAAACAGUACAAUAGUAUAAUAUAUUUUAAUGUAUAAUGUAUUAUGUACUUAUGUAUUAGGCGAUUUUUAGUAAUUCAAAAUUGUAUAUUACACCUAUAGUUGACAUUAUUAUGUACAAUGUAAAUGUCUGUAGUUAAUUAUUUAUGUAGGUAUAGUGGGUACCUUUAAUAUUAUCACUGAACGCAUGGUAAAUUUCAUUUUUGCUACAUUAUUCGUGAUGUAUACCAGAAAAUAUUAUAACGUACACUGUGUUUGUUCAUAAUAUAUCAAUGAUUAAUCAAACUUUUGGGUACAUAAUAUAUGCUUUGGAAAGUAUUCGAAACAUACGUUUUUAGACCCAAAGCUGGGUUUUUUUUAUUGUGUGUGUUAACAACUUUUUUACCAGGAAUCUUGCUUCAGACAAAAACUGUAAUAAGAACUUUCUUUAUCAUUUUUCAUUUCGUUAGUACAUUGAGGAGGUGAUUUUUUGAUUUUCCUUGUGGUUUUUUUGAAUAAAAAUGGGAAAAAUGUUUAGGUUAGCCUAACAACAAACAUUAUUGAUUAGCUAAUGUGUAAGAAAGUCGUUUUUUGAAUUUUCGUGUAGAUUUUGUAACACCUCGUUGAGAAAAAUGUAGAAAAGAUCGUUAAGUUUACGGGAUUAACGGUUUCAGUUUUUUUCGGUUUUG
RNAcentral lists this long non-coding RNA (6184 nucleotides) under Cinara cedri. The record is from RNAcentral. Lineage: Eukaryota; Metazoa; Arthropoda; Insecta; Hemiptera; Aphididae.